GUGGGAUCUGAUCGUAUGAGGUAGCCUAACAUAGUCUCAAGGGAAAGGGGUCCUUGGAUCCCUGACGCCCUCCAGCUCCUCUGGUUUCUGUGUGUCUGGAGACUGCUUGCCCGGUUGGCUGUCUUGGCUCAAGCGGUGGUCCACAGGUCUGGAGGUCCGUUGGUCCAGGCCCAGUGAUGUGUCCUGCUUGAUGUCUCCCUCUCUGCAGCCUCACACAAUUCUCCUUUGAGUCUCUGCCUGGCCUCAGUCUGCUCUAGCCGACUCCCAGGAGGAGCUUCACUGAGAAUCUAACUGGCUCUCCACUCAGCUGCUUUCUGAGUUUUGUGUUCUAGAGACUUCUAGGUCCCAUCCACAGUGUAAACAGAAAACAGAGAUGGUGCUGGAAAGCUGAACUGGCACUCCCUCAGCCUAAUUACUGUGCAGUACAGCCAAAUAGACUUUUCUAUGGCCACUCUGUUGGUGUGAUUGGGGCAGGGGCAUCUAUGAACCAAUUUCUUCUAAAAGACCCUCAGACUGGAAAUUCUCCUCAAUGAUCUAAUAUAUCAUGCUUUUUCCAAGUUAAAUUCAGAGGAGGAAAUUCACUUUUCUCAUCCCCAACCUCUCAUGUCUCCUCCUCUCUGUUUUUCUACUUCUCACAUUCCUUCAAGGCUGACCGAGGCAAGUUUGUUUGUAUGUUUUUUUUCAUAUUUUCUUUUUAUAGCUGAGACGUCUCUCAUAUCCUAGUCUCCUCUUUCUGAACUUCAGCCUUGUUGCUAAGUAUUAUUCUUAAACGGGGAUGGAAAAGAGCGAAAGAUUGGCUUAAAUAUGAGGGCCACUGAGUUUGAGAGGUAUUUCCGCAAUAUGUGACCUAUUUACACAAAUUACAGAGCUGCCAAGAAAUUGGAGGUCGUGGAUCCUGGAAACAUGUCGUAAGAAAGGGCUUUAGAGACACAAGACAGCAGCGGGCUUAAGAUGGAAGUUGACUCGAGCUGUGAUGAAGCAGAACUCCAUGCUUUGCCGAGACCACAGUAAGGAAGGAGAACAGCUCCUGGAAGCAAAUGACAGGCAAAGUUUUAGAGAAUAAAACUGAGGCCAACGAGUCCAG
Acinonyx jubatus (cheetah) is the source of this 1084-nucleotide long non-coding RNA. RefSeq lists it as uncharacterized. NCBI's taxonomy places the organism in Eukaryota, Metazoa, Chordata, Mammalia, Carnivora, Felidae. The transcript is spliced from 2 exons. The record is from RefSeq and is a predicted model, not a curated record.